UAAUACGGAGGGUGCAAGCGUUAAUCGGAAUUACUGGGCGUAGAGCGUGCGUAGGUGGUAUGUUAAGUUAGAUGUGAAAGCCCUGGGCUCAACCUAGGAACUGCAUUUAAAACUGGCAAACUAGAGUAUAGGAGAGGAAAGUGGAAUUUCAGGUGUAGCGGUGAAAUGCGUAGAUAUCUGAAGGAACAUCAAUGGCGAAGGCAGCUUUCUGGACUAAUACUGACACUGAGGUACGAAAGCGUGGGUAGCAAACAGGAUUAGAUACCCUGGUAGUCCACGCCGUAAACGAUGACAACUAGCCGUUGGGAGGAUUUACCUCUUAGUGGCGAAGCUAACGCGUUAAGUUGUCCGCCUGGGGAGUACGGCCGCAAGGUUA
This 376-nucleotide ribosomal RNA is filed under the name uncultured Gammaproteobacteria bacterium. RNAcentral's name for it is "bacterial SSU rRNA". It matches the Rfam family "Bacterial small subunit ribosomal RNA", at positions 521 to 896 of the family's 1533-position model. The record is from RNAcentral. Lineage: Bacteria; Pseudomonadati; Pseudomonadota; Gammaproteobacteria.